Molecule: transfer RNA, 72 nt
Filed under: Nippostrongylus brasiliensis
Lineage: Eukaryota; Metazoa; Nematoda; Chromadorea; Rhabditida; Heligmosomidae
Rfam family: tRNA
About the family: Transfer RNA (tRNA) molecules are approximately 80 nucleotides in length.
Source: Rfam by way of RNAcentral
ACAUCGGUAGCACAGUGGUUAGUGCAGUCUGCUGGAAACAGAAACAUGCGGGUUCAAUUCCCGUCCGAUGUC